AGCUUCGACCAAGGUUCGACUCGAGCGCCAACGAGAGAGCGUGGCCGCAGGCAACGACCCGAAGGGCGAAGCGCGCAGCGCUGAGUAAUCCUUCCCCCACCACCA
RNAcentral lists this small RNA (105 nucleotides) under Escherichia coli. Its description in RNAcentral is "partial RtT sRNA". It matches the Rfam family "RtT RNA", at positions 28 to 130 of the family's 130-position model. From Rfam's summary of the family: This family represents a bacterial cis-regulatory element known as RtT RNA. The exact function of RtT is unknown although it is thought that it may be involved in changing the cellular response in relation to amino acid starvation. Lineage: Bacteria; Pseudomonadati; Pseudomonadota; Gammaproteobacteria; Enterobacterales; Enterobacteriaceae. The record is from RNAcentral.